UGUCCAGGGAUGGGAAUCGAACCCACAAUGUUCCGCUUACCGGGCAGAUGCCAUAUCCACUAGGCCUAAUGUCUGUUAAC
RNAcentral lists this transfer RNA (80 nucleotides) under Cordylochernes scorpioides. Its description in RNAcentral is "tRNA-Thr". The record is from RNAcentral. Lineage: Eukaryota; Metazoa; Arthropoda; Arachnida; Pseudoscorpiones; Chernetidae.